CCUACGGGCGGCAGCAGUGAGGAAUAUUGGUCAAUGGACGAGAGUCUGAACCAGCCAAGUAGCGUGAAGGAUGAAUGCCCUAUGGGGUGUAAACUUCUUUUAUAAAGGGAUAAAAAGAGGCACGUGUGCGUUUUUGCAUGUACUUUAUGAAUAAGGAUCGGCUAACUCCGUGCCAGCAGCCGCGGUAAUACGGAGGAUCCGAGCGUUAUCCGGAUUUAUUGGGGUUAAAGGGGGCGUAGAUGGGUUGUUAAGUCAGUUGUGAAAGUUUGCGGCUCAACCGUAAAAUUGCAAUUGAUACUGGCAUUCUUGAGUACAUUUGAGGUAGUCGGAAUUCGUGUUGUAGCG
Molecule: ribosomal RNA, 345 nt
Filed under: uncultured bacterium
Lineage: Bacteria
Description: partial 16S ribosomal RNA
Rfam family: Bacterial small subunit ribosomal RNA
Source: RNAcentral